RNAcentral lists this ribosomal RNA (252 nucleotides) under uncultured bacterium. RNAcentral describes it as "partial 16S ribosomal RNA". It matches the Rfam family "Bacterial small subunit ribosomal RNA", at positions 524 to 776 of the family's 1533-position model. The record is from RNAcentral.
GACGAACCGUGCGAACGUUGUUCGGAAUCACUGGGCUUAAAGGGCGCGUAGGCGGGUCACCAAGUCCGGGGUGAAAUCUUUCGGCUCAACCGGAAAAUUGCCUUGGAUACUGGUGGUCUUGAGGGAGGUAGGGCAUGUGGAACUUCCGGUGGAGCGGUGAAAUGCGUUGAUAUCGGAAGGAACGCCGGUGGCGAAAGCGACGUGCUGGAUCUCUUCUGACGCUGAGGCGCGAAAGCUAGGGGAGCAAACGGG